AUUGAACGCUGGCGGAAUGCUUUACACAUGCAAGUCGAACGGCAGCACGGGGGCAACCCUGGUGGCGAGUGGCGAACGGGUGAGUAAUACAUCGGAACGUGCCCAGUCGUGGGGGAUAACGUAGCGAAAGUUACGCUAAUACCGCAUACGAUCUACGGAUGAAAGCGGGGGACCGUAAGGCCUCGCGCGAUUGGCGCGGCCGAUGUCAGAUUAGGUAGUGGGUGAGGUAAAGGCUCACCAAGCCGACGAUCUGUAGCUGGUCUGAGAGGACGACCAGCCACACUGGACUGAGACACGGCCCAGACUCCUACGGGAGGCAGCAGUGGGGAAUUUUGGACAAUGGGCGCAAGCCUGAUCCAGCCAUUCCGCGUGCAGGACGAAGGCCUUCGGGUUGUAAACUGCUUUUGUACGGAACGAAAAGGCUCUGGUUAAUACCUGGGGCUCAUGACGGUACCGUAAGAAUAAGCACCGGCUAACUACGUGCCAGCAGCCGCGGUAA
This 499-nucleotide ribosomal RNA is filed under the name uncultured bacterium. RNAcentral describes it as "partial 16S ribosomal RNA". It matches the Rfam family "Bacterial small subunit ribosomal RNA", at positions 30 to 523 of the family's 1533-position model. The record is from RNAcentral.